CACGGUCCCGCAUGGGACAGUGUGAAAAACUCCGGUGGUACAAGAUGGAUCCGCGUCUGAUUAGCCAGUUGGCGGGGUAACGGCCCACCAAAGCGACGAUCAGUAGCCGGCCUGAGAGGGUGAACGGCCACAUUGGGACUGAGACACGGCCCAAACUCCUACGGGAGGCAGCAGUGGGGAAUAUUGCACAAUGGGGGAAACCCUGAUGCAGCAACGCCGCGUGAGUGAAGAAGUAAUUCGUUAUGUAAAGCUCUAUCAGCAGGGAAGAAAAUGACGGUACCUGAGUAAGCAGCCCCGGCUAACUACGUGCCAGCAGCCGCGGUAAUACGUAGGGGGCAAGCGUUAUCCGGAUUUACUGGGUGUAAAGGGAGCGUAGACGGUAAAGCAAGUCUGAAGUGAAAUGCCAGUGCUCAACACUGGAACUGCUUUGGAAACUGUUUGGCUGGAGUGCAGGAGAGGUAAGUGGAAUUCCUAGUGUAGCGGUGAAAUGCGUAGAUAUUAGGAGGAACACCAGUGGCGAAGGCGGCUUACUGGACUGUAACUGACGUUGAGGCUCGAAAGCGUGGGGAGCAAACAGGAUUAGAUACCCUGGUAGUCCACGCGGUAAACGAU
Molecule: ribosomal RNA, 612 nt
Filed under: uncultured bacterium
Lineage: Bacteria
Description: bacterial SSU rRNA
Rfam family: Bacterial small subunit ribosomal RNA
Source: RNAcentral